UUUUGGCCUUUGAGCGUCAGUCUGGUUAAAGAAACACUCAUAUUGGGUUGUAUUUGGUCAUUUUCGGCUGUUAUCCAGACACCGAAAGUCGCCAUCUUACAAUUCGAAAUGUUGUCUGGGGUCGAUUUGUGGCUUCAGUGCAUCAUAACAAUUCCGGAAAUACCCACGUUGGGUGGUAUAAGGUCAUUUGCCGCUAUUUUUCAGGAUUUCGAAAUGGUAUUUGGAGACAUGCCAGAAGAAGAAAGGGUGUCGAAACAUUAUGGACAUGUUUGUUGUGCUUGAUUGGUUCUCGAGCUGUGCGUAAUUUGAGUUUCAUUUGUAUGGGACCCCUCCCUUAUAGUAGAGAGAAGGGUGUCAAACUAUUUUAUUUGUUACCCCUCAAAACAAUCAACCGCCAAAUUUGGUUCCAUUUAGUUGGUUAGUUCUCGAGAUAAGCAGAAAUUUGUGUUUCAUUUGUUAUGAACCCCUCCCUCACAGAAGAGGGAGGGGAGUCGAACCACUAUGGACAUACUUGUUACCUCUAAAAACAUUCACAUACCAAAUUUGGUUGUAUUUGGUUGAUUGGUUCUUGAGCUGUGAGAAAUUCGUAUUUCAUUUGUAUGGGACCCCUCCCUUCCAUAAGAGGGAAGGGUGUCGAACCAACAUGGACAUAUUUGCUACUCCUACAAACAUCCACAUGCCAAAUUUGGUUCCAUUUACUUGGUUAGUUUUCGAGAUGUGCAGGAAUUUGUGUUUCCUUUUUAUGGGACCCCUCCCUUGCAGAAGGGGGAGGGGUCUCGAAAUAUCUUAGUCACCUUUCCCGGCCCCUAAAACCCCUAUUUACAAAAUUUCACGCCGAUCGGUUCGGUAGUUUCCAAGCCUAUAUGAAUCAGACAGACAGACAGACAGACAGAGCUGCAUUUUUAUAUGUUUAGAUUAUAUUGCGCUACACAGUAGGCCUGGCCGUUGAAAAGAAAAAUGUAUGGAAAUCCUUUUUUACUUUAAACUUUUUUUAUUUAAAAAACUGGUGGAUAUCAUUUUCCAGGAUCCUUUCAAGUACUGGCUGUGUUAGUGUAGACUAGACUAGACUAGACUAGACUAGGGCAAAACUGAUGUAUGGUUACCAGUGCACUGCAGUGUUGUGUUUGAGAAUAUUUAACCAAAACGAGAAUUUUACAUUGACUUGUCGAAAACUUCCAAAAAGAUUUCGGUGUUCGAUUACAUGAAAAAGAAACCAGAUUUCAGUAUACCAAUAAAAUUUACUUUUGAUCUUGACACACACAAAAUACGCGAACGAAUUAGUAAACGUGAAUCUAAAAAUAGAACAAACACAGUUUUUUUGCCUCUUCUUGUUUCUUUUGUUAAAUUUAUGCUUCUAUCACUAAAGACCGCUGGAGAUGCGCUGCCGGUACCCGCAUAAAUGUCCCAUAUUGAUUUUUGUCACUUUUCAAUUAUCUUCGGGAAUCGACUUAACUCUCUAGUGCCUAGUGUCGCCCUUAGACGGUCUUCAGUUGAACCAUUAAAAGCGUCAGUCAAUACUUAAAAAAUGUUUAUAAAAAUGCAUAGUGAUUUUUUCGAAGUCCGUCUGAAAAUUAAUUUGGGCACUAGAGGGUUAAUUGUUAUCAUAUUUUCCGAAAAAAAUCUGAAAUUGAUACUUUGUAUGGAAAAAUAUGGAAGAAAUAUCAAGUUGUGUUUGUCCCAUAUUAAAAGUACCCGCAUUACAGUCCCAUAGUGCAUAGUGGUACAAACUGCGAACAUAUAAUUUUGCUCCAGAUUAGUGUAUAUCGGAUAAUUUUUGGCAUAUAGAAGUUUGUUUUUAACUAUAGACUAAUGUUUUUUUCAGUAGUACAAUCGACGUUGCCAGUGAUACUACCGGUUGCUGGUUGAAUUUAUAUGUGGUGGGACAAAAUGUGCGAGUACUUUUGAAAUGUGCCGCAUAUUCUGUCCAAUACUGUUUUUUUUUUCAAGUUAUAUAACGUAAAACCAAUUCCACCCAUGGUUUUUUGUUCUUAACGUUAAACUUGUGGUGUCAGGAAACUGUUCUGGUCAUUGGUCAGAUAAUUGCUGGAAAUCAAAAAAUUCACAGAUAAUAUUAAAUCGCCGUUUCCUCAAUAUGUUGUUUUUCAUUAUAUGACAGUUAUCUGGGUACCGUUAGUGCAUAUGUGUAUACAGUGUACACAUAAUUAGCACAGUGAAUGGCAUUAAAUGUCUUAUAUUGUGAAUUUUUAAGUGUUUUGGAGUUUUCGACAUACCUAAAUCGACCGUAAUACAGUUCUCGACGUUAAAUUACCUACGAGUCCCAAAAAAAUAAUGUAGAAUAUUAUCCCUGAUUACAACACAUCUCAAAAAUUAACAUAAUAGCGUUAAUGGUUAUCACGAUGCGCUAGAAACACUCUUAUACAACUACCCACUAAGAAUGUUAUUUUCAAAUAUAUUUUGUACGUUACUUGGGAUAGAAUUUUACAUCGAAUUAAACUAUUUCUCAUAAACAUUCAUGUCCUGUUACUUACCACGUAUGGUAUAAACAUAACGUAACAUCAGAUGGAACAAAUAGUAAUGAAUCACAUAUCUUAUACAGGCAUAAACAAUACUAAGAGAAGCGAAACAUUUCAACUGGACUAACAACAACAAUGACAUGAAAACCCCACCAGAACAGUGUCUGAUUGUAGUUGCGGUUCUCGGUUUGGAUUAGCAAUCGUCAGGCGACAGGAGAAACGAUUAUUUUUUAGAACUUCACGGCUUUGUUCGCCACAUACUAGCGCGCAUACUGGACGAAGAGCCGGCGAGCAAAGUGACAAAAAGAGAUGGGGGGCUUGCCGGGGCGUAGCGAAAACCUGAUCGCGUGUACACUCGUUUUCUUGCUCCGUUCCUGCAAUGCAGAGUCACAGCGCUUGCGUACUGAUUACGACCUUGACAGUGAACUUGAAUUUUCCUCUAUCAUACCUAUUGAGCGUUUGUUCGCUUGCUCGUUCGCUCACUUGCCAUUUGCCACCCGUGCCCCACAUUCAGCGCACCCGUCCGGCGUGCUUGGAGUCGUACACCUUCCUCAUCGCAUCACGUUUUUGUGCUUGAUAAUUUCAAUCUUCUUCCGUUCCCUGCCCCACUAACCCUGCUACCAUCGAUCCAACAAACGGCGAGCGACGCUUUGCUCACGUUGGUGGAUCACUCACUAACUGUCCAAGAGUUUAGUCGAUUUUAAAAACAUUGCUGUACUUUUUCGCUUGAACGCUGGCCUCCUUCCUGCCUAACACAGCCCACAUCUUCACGUUGACACCCGCACCAUCCGUUUCGGUCCGAUGCGGCAACGAGGGCUAACUUUUAUUCGCUUGAUGUGUCGUAUUUAUUCUGUUUUUAUUUUAUGUAUACUCUAUCAGCUCGAUUCAGUUAUCUCCCCGGGCCUGCCACAACUACUUCUCUGAUUAAGCCAGAGUAAUUGCUCGGAAAUGGGGCUUGCCUGCUUGUUAUAUAAAGAUUUUGACAGAGUCGUAUUGUUAUGUUUUUUUUCGCCCUUCUGUCAUAUCAGAUGUACCGCUCACUAGAUGCGGCUCAAUUGUUGUACCGUGCUGCACUUUCAAAUUUGCUUAAAAUACCAUCUGGGUAUUUUCAUGUCACACAAAAAUUAGGUUUACUUAAUGGAAAUGUACUUAAGCAUGUCCAUUAACAACCGAAGACUUCAAGUUGCAUUAAGUAUGUUACAAUCUAUAUUUUGUUUAGUAUUAGUAAACUCAUGUCACCUAGGCGAAUGGUAAUCACCAAACUUGAAAUAAAUUUUCAUAGCUUCACCCCUCUUGACAGUUCAGUUACCGGUCCCGCAAGCUGUUUUGGUCUUCCAAAAGUUGCUUGUUCGCAACUCGCAUCCUCUAACAGCAGAAUUGAAGAGAGAAAGUUCAAGGUCUAUUCCAUUCGUCCGUAUAACGCUAUCCGGAAAAAAGGGUGAACUCGCAUCACCCAUCAUAACGAAGAUCCUCGAGCGCGAGUUCCGAAGGACCCUCACUCGGAGGGUAUCCUGUGCCUUCUCCGACUGUUUUGGUUUCAUUCGUUUAUAUAUGCUCUCUCCCAGGUUCGCUGAGUGAUGACCACUGCACUAGUUUGAGUGAGUUCUCCUACUACCUAGUGCAGGUUGCUUUGUUGGCAAGUGGAAAAUUUUCAAGCUCAAGUUCAAUCGAUUUUUCUCGCAACCGGCUUUUCCCGGCUUCCCCACCGGCGUCCCUUGUGGACAAACAGACAAAAACAUGCGCAUUCACACACACAAAACAAGUGUACAUCACAAAGCUUUGCUACAUCACGAAAUGUCCUUCGAAGGAAAACAUCGAUCUGAAUUGACUCGAUUGAAGAAAGAAAACAAGCAAAAUUCAAGGGCAAACAUUUUGGCACCCUGUGAAUAUUGUCCGUGGCCGGCAUAUUUUAUGAUCUAGUCGAUUUUAGCUCCCAAGAACAGUAAUGUUGACGCAUACAACGGAGAACAUUCCAUCACGCGCUUACAUUCGUGUAGAUUGUGCUUCAUGCUGUGUUGCCAUGUUUUACCAGCUUUUACACCCACUCAAAGAGAUGCCAAACCUGCUACCGGGUCCUGUAGGUCUACACUAACAAAUGGGAAGGAAGCUUUUGCGAAAGUAAACAAACCGAGAGGAAAAUUAUUAUCAUGUCCGACUAGUAACAAGUACUUUGUAGUACUUUGCAAAUACUCAUUUCGCUUUUUCGUGGCGAAAAGAAUCCGCUUUUAGAGUUGAGCUUUUUAACUAACGCAUUCUCAUGGUGCCGUCCCUCAGUGACACAGUUGUGCGACGGUUAACAAUCAGGAUUCUGCAGUCAAUGUUUCGACUUUAGGGACUACUCAAAUGUUGUACAUGAGAAGGAUGAAAGCAGAGAACAUAAAAAAAUAAAAGGUAAGCAGGUUAAGACCGUACGUUGUGUUGGAAAAUGCAUGUAGAGUUUCGGGAAGUAUUUCAUGUUCCGCCAGUGUUGUUGUGCCAAUCACCGACGCCCAGGGAGGCGACUCCACCCAGGACCCUGACUUACGGUUAACGGUGCUAACGGCUUUACUCCCUCAUGCGAUGGAAGGCGUGAUCCCAGAGAUUUUUCGCCUCAGAAAAUCUCCCUGUGUCAGCUAGGAUUGAGUCUAGACCAUUUGGGUUGUUUGUGAGUGGAUCACGCCAUCCUACAAUCAUCGACACCUAUGUCGGCAUUGGGAUUCGAACCCAGGCGUCGAGCGCUAGAUUCCCGCAGAGUAAUUUCUUAUUAAUUACAUUGAUAAACACCUUAAAAUCAAUAAAUAAAAUCCACAGUGUCACAGAUAAGAAACCUUUAUGAAAUUAUACAUCAUUUUUCUUUUUAU
Molecule: long non-coding RNA, 5314 nt
Organism: Wyeomyia smithii (pitcher-plant mosquito)
Lineage: Eukaryota; Metazoa; Arthropoda; Insecta; Diptera; Culicidae
Exons: 3
Source: RefSeq, a predicted model, not a curated record